RNAcentral lists this unclassified non-coding RNA (234 nucleotides) under plant metagenome. RNAcentral describes it as "partial contains small subunit ribosomal RNA, internal transcribed spacer 1, and 5.8S ribosomal RNA". The stretch from base 1 to 53 matches the Rfam family "Eukaryotic small subunit ribosomal RNA", at positions 1779 to 1831 of the family's 1831-position model. The record is from RNAcentral.
GGAGUAAAAGUCGUAACAAGGUUUCCGUAGGUGAACCUGCGGAAGGAUCAUUCAUAAUAAGUGUUUUAUGGCACUUUUUUAAAUCCAUAUCCACCUUGUGUGCAAUGUCAGGGUUGAUUUUUCUCUCAAGAGGAUCAGCCCCAAACAUCAACUAUAUCUCAACUCUUUGUCUGAAAAAUAUUAUGAAUAAAACAAUUCAAAAUACAACUUUCAACAACGGAUCUCUUGGCUCUC